CAGGGCGAAAGCUGAUGCAGCGACGCCGCGUGAGGGAUGACGGCCUUCGGGUUGUAAACCUCUUUCAGCAGGGAAGAAGCGAAAGUGACGGUACCUGCAGAAGAAGCGCCGGCUAACUACGUGCCAGCAGCCGCGGUAAUACGUAGGGCGCAAGCGUUAUCCGGAAUUAUUGGGCGUAAAGAGCUCGUAGGCGGUUUGUCGCGUCUGCUGUGAAAGCCCGGGGCUCAACCCCGGGUCUGCAGUGGGUACGGGCAGACUAGAGUGCAGUAGGGGAGACUGGAAUUCCUGGUGUACGGUGAAAUGCGCAGAUAUCAGGAGGAACACCGAUGGCGAAGGCAGGUCUCUGGGCUGUAACUGACGCUGAGGAGCGAAAGCAUGGGGAGCGAACAGGAUUAGAUACCCUGGUAGUCCAUGCCGUAAACGUUGGGCACUAGGUGUGGGGGACAUUCCACGUUUUCCGCGCCGUAGCUAACGCAUUAAGUGCCCCGCCUGGGGAGUACGGGCGCAAGGCUAAAACUCAAAGGAAU
RNAcentral lists this ribosomal RNA (527 nucleotides) under Arthrobacter sp. UST050418-330. Its description in RNAcentral is "bacterial SSU rRNA". It matches the Rfam family "Bacterial small subunit ribosomal RNA", at positions 372 to 910 of the family's 1533-position model. The record is from RNAcentral. Lineage: Bacteria; Bacillati; Actinomycetota; Actinomycetes; Micrococcales; Micrococcaceae.